UACGGGGGGGGCAAGCGUUGUUCGGAAUUACUGGGCGUAAAGGGCUCGUAGGCGGCCAACUAAGUCAUACGUGAAAUCCCUCGGCUUAACCGGGGAACUGCGUCUGAUACUGGAUGGCUUGAGUUCGGGAGAGGGAUGCGGAAUUCCAGGUGUAGCGGUGAAAUGCGCAGAUAUCAGGAAGAACACCAAUGGCGAAGGCAGCUCUCUGGGACGGUACUGACGCUGAGACGCGAAAGCGUGGGGAGCGAACAGG
Molecule: ribosomal RNA, 253 nt
Filed under: uncultured bacterium
Lineage: Bacteria
Description: partial 16S ribosomal RNA
Rfam family: Bacterial small subunit ribosomal RNA
Source: RNAcentral